Molecule: microRNA precursor, 89 nt
Organism: Lepisosteus oculatus (spotted gar)
Lineage: Eukaryota; Metazoa; Chordata; Actinopteri; Semionotiformes; Lepisosteidae
Gene: mir301b
Product: microRNA 301b
Source: Ensembl
AUGCUGUGGCCAUUUGCUAUGACAAUGUUGCACUACUGUACUACUCACUCAAGCAGUGCAAUAGUAUUGUCAUAGCAUGCGGUCUCCGC